UUGGAGGGCAAGUCUGGUGCCAGCAGCCGCGGUAAUUCCAGCUCCAAUAGCGUAUAUCAAAGUUGUUGCAGUUAAAAAGCUCGUAGUUGAAUUUCGGGAUCAGUACGUUGGUCGUGCCUUAGGUACGUACUGGUGUUACUGGUUCCUACCUUCUGACGAACCAUCAUGUCAUUCAUUUGGUGUGGCGGGGAAUCAGGACUGUUACUUUGAAAAAAUUAGAGUGUUUAAAGCAGGCUCGCGCUUGAAUACAUUAGCAUGGAAUAAUGAAAUAGGACGUUGAUCCUAUUUUGUUGGUUUCUAGGAUUGACGUAAUGAUUAAUAGGGAUAGUUGGGGGCAUUAGUAUUCAAUUGUCAGAGGUGAAAUUCUUGGAUUUAUUGAAGACUAACUACUGCGAAAGCAUUUGCCAAGGAUGUUUUCAUUAAUCAAGAACGAAAGUUAGGGGAUCGAAGACGAUCAGAUACCGUCGUAGUCUUAACCAUAAACUAUGCCGACUAGGGAUCGGAUGAUGUUAUUUUUAAUGACUCAUUCGGCGCCUUACGGGAAAC
This 546-nucleotide ribosomal RNA is filed under the name uncultured Glomeromycotina. RNAcentral's name for it is "SSU rRNA". It matches the Rfam family "Eukaryotic small subunit ribosomal RNA", at positions 548 to 1098 of the family's 1831-position model. The record is from RNAcentral. Lineage: Eukaryota; Fungi; Glomeromycota.